GACGAACGCUGGCGGCGUGCUUAACACAUGCAAGUCGAGCGGUAAGGCCCUUUCGGGGGUACGACGAGCGGCGAACGGGUGAGUAACACGUGGGUGACCUGCCUUUAGCUCUGGGAUAAGCCUGGGAAACUGGGUCUAAUACCGGAUAUGACCCUAUGGCGCAUGUUGUGGGGUGGAAAGCCUUGUGCGGCUAGGGAUGGGCCCGCGGCCUAUCAGCUUGUUGGUGGGGUGAUGGCCACCAAGGCGACGACGGGUAGCCGGCCUGAGAGGGCGACCGGCCACACUGGGGACUGAGACACGGCCCAGACUCCUAU
Molecule: ribosomal RNA, 314 nt
Filed under: uncultured bacterium
Lineage: Bacteria
Description: bacterial SSU rRNA
Rfam family: Bacterial small subunit ribosomal RNA
Source: RNAcentral